Nicotiana attenuata is the source of this 331-nucleotide long non-coding RNA. RefSeq lists it as uncharacterized. The transcript has 3 exons. Lineage: Eukaryota; Viridiplantae; Streptophyta; Magnoliopsida; Solanales; Solanaceae. The record is from RefSeq and is a predicted model, not a curated record.
AGGAGAGGUUGUAAGUUAUGAUGAAGUAAAAUCACAUAGCCAAAUACUAAUUCUCCGCAAGCAGAUGCAUUCACUGACCCUGAUUUCAAUUGUGAACAAGUCACUGAUGCAGACACAACUUUCAAGGAUUCAAUGGCUGAUAAUGAGAUAACUUCUCCUGCAAAGACCCAUGCCAAGAGAAGUAGAGAAGAGGUUGAUGAUGAUCUUGCACAAUUUUCAAGUAACAAGGUUAAAAGAGUGAUUAAACAGGAGAAAAAUCCAUGAAUGGAUGCAUUUACCUCAUUUGAAAUGACAUUAUUCGUACAAUUGCAUUAGCAAGUACUUUGGUAUG